This 73-nucleotide transfer RNA is filed under the name Ehrlichia sennetsu str. Miyayama. Its description in RNAcentral is "tRNA-Thr (TGT) (tRNA-Thr-TGT-1-1)". It matches the Rfam family "tRNA". Rfam says of the family: Transfer RNA (tRNA) molecules are approximately 80 nucleotides in length. Their secondary structure includes four short double-helical elements and three loops (D, anti-codon, and T loops). Further hydrogen bonds mediate the characteristic L-shaped molecular structure. tRNAs have two regions of fundamental functional importance: the anti-codon, which is responsible for specific mRNA codon recognition, and the 3' end, to which the tRNAs corresponding amino acid is attached (by aminoacyl-tRNA synthetases). tRNAs cope with the degeneracy of the genetic code in two manners: having more than one tRNA (with a specific anti-codon) for a particular amino acid; and 'wobble' base-pairing, i.e. permitting non-standard base-pairing at the 3rd anti-codon position. The record is from RNAcentral. Lineage: Bacteria; Pseudomonadati; Pseudomonadota; Alphaproteobacteria; Rickettsiales; Anaplasmataceae.
GCCUGCGUGGCUCAAUUGGUAGAGCAACUGACUUGUAAUCAGUAGGUUGGGGGUUCGAGUCCCUCCGCUGGCA